Molecule: ribosomal RNA, 327 nt
Filed under: Triticum aestivum (bread wheat)
Lineage: Eukaryota; Viridiplantae; Streptophyta; Magnoliopsida; Poales; Poaceae
Description: partial small subunit ribosomal RNA
Source: RNAcentral
AUGAAUCUUUUAGACAAAAUAUUAGCAUAUGGGAAGCUUGCAGUGGCAUGUAUGGAAAAUUCUCAAUUAUGUGUAGACAGUACAUGUUAUAGAAAUGAAGAAACUAAAAUCACACUUGAAAGUGAAAGACAUAACACUCUCUCCUUAUUUCCACAAACAAUUAUAAAUGAUGUUGCACAUGUCAAGCAUGAAUCCACGCAUCCACAAGCCCAUCCAAUGUCGCCACUGAUUCUCCAUCCUCGAGCAGAGCCUCUUUUGCCUGCCGCAUCACCGCUAGAGUCCGCUCUCGAAGCAUCUUCCCGCCUUCUGAAUCAAUCAUCCACUUGA